GACCCAAGGAUGGGCAAAAGGCUCUUAGGAAGAUGGCAGCGCUUCACAGAUGCAGUGCCCAAGUCUCUCUGGCCACGGAAUCCCCCAGAGUUCUGGUGAUCACCUCCAUAUCUCCAAAUAAUGUGUUUCUACCACCACUUCUUGCUUUAUCAACUAUGCACUUUAUCUACUGACCUUCUACCGGGAUAAAUGAAGACUCAGCUCACCAAAAACUCACCUGCCUCUCUUUCAUCCUUCUUCCCAAGAUAGCUAAAUCAGUUCUUAAUUCUUCUACUGGUCACCUUUGUGUAAAUAAAGCAUACAUAUUAAAUAA
Long non-coding RNA from Homo sapiens (human), 313 nucleotides. RefSeq lists it as uncharacterized. Lineage: Eukaryota; Metazoa; Chordata; Mammalia; Primates; Hominidae. The record is from RefSeq and is a predicted model, not a curated record. The transcript has 2 exons.